GAAAUGCGAUACGUAGUGUGAAUUGCAGAAUUCCGCGAAUCAUCGAGUCUUUGAACGCAAGUUGCGCCCGAGGCUCGUCCGAGGGCAUUCCUGCCUGAGCGUCAUCGCGCCACCCACCGGCCCCUCCCGGCCGAGUGAACCUGGCCGUCCGAGCCCGAACAGGGUCCGGUCGGCUGAAAUGCAGAGAGUCCGGUUGCCGUGGAGACACAGCUGCGAUCAGGUGAUCCGACCCUCCCUCGGGAGACGGAAGCAUGCGCAGUGCCGUGUCUCUCAGCCGCCCGCGACUCAAGCAGGUCUCGCGGCCCGAGUCCGUCUUUCGGGACGGGCCGGCCGCGGCCCACGUACGCAUCAGACCUCAGAUCAGGAAAGACUACCCGCUGAGUUUAA
This 387-nucleotide unclassified non-coding RNA is filed under the name uncultured fungus. RNAcentral's name for it is "sequence contains ITS1". The stretch from base 1 to 104 matches the Rfam family "5.8S ribosomal RNA", at positions 50 to 154 of the family's 154-position model. The record is from RNAcentral. Lineage: Eukaryota; Fungi.